GACGAACGCUGGCGGCGUGCUUAACACAUGCAAGUCGAACGGAAAGGCCCUGCUUUUGUGGGGUGCUCGAGUGGCGAACGGGUGAGUAACACGUGAGUAACCUGCCCUUGACUUUGGGAUAACUUCAGGAAACUGGGGCUAAUACCGGAUAGGAGCUCCUGCUGCAUGGUGGGGGUUGGAAAGUUUCGGCGGUUGGGGAUGGACUCGCGGCCUAUCAGCUUGUUGGUGGGGUAGUGGCUUACCAAGGCUUUGACGGGUAGCCGGCCUGAGAGGGUGACCGGCGACAAUGGGACUGAGAUACGGCGCAGAAUCCUACGGGAGGCAGCAGUGGGGAAUAUUGCACAGUGGGCGGACGCCUGAUGCAGCAACGCUGCGUGCGGGAUGACGGCCUUCGGGUUGUAAACCGCUUUCGCCUGUGACGAAGCGGGAGUGACGGUAAUGGGUAAAGAAGCACCGGCUAACUACGUG
Molecule: ribosomal RNA, 468 nt
Filed under: uncultured bacterium
Lineage: Bacteria
Description: partial 16S ribosomal RNA
Rfam family: Bacterial small subunit ribosomal RNA
Source: RNAcentral